GACGAACGCUGGCGGCGUGCUUAGCACAUGCAAGUCGAACGGAAAGGCCCUGCUUUUGUGCGGUGCUCGAGUGGCGAACGGGUGAGUAACACGUGAGUAACCUGCCCUUGACUUUGGGAUAACUUCAGGAAACUGGGGCUAAUACCGGAUAGGAGCUCCUGCUGCAUGGUGGGGGUUGGAAAGUUUCGGCGGUUGGGGAUGGACUCGCGGCUUAUCAGCUUGUUGGUGGGGUAGUGGCUUACCAAGGCUUUGACGGGUAGCCGGCCUGAGAGGGUGACCGGCCACAUUGGGACUGAGAUACGGCCCAGACUCCUACGGGAGGCAGCAGUGGGGAAUAUUGCACAAUGGGCGGAAGCCUGAUGCAGCAACGCCGCGUGCGGGAUGACGGCCUUCGGGUUGUAAACCGCUUUCGCCUGUGACGAAGCGUGAGUGACGGUAAUGGGUAAAGAAGCACCGGCUAACUACGUG
Molecule: ribosomal RNA, 468 nt
Filed under: uncultured bacterium
Lineage: Bacteria
Description: partial 16S ribosomal RNA
Rfam family: Bacterial small subunit ribosomal RNA
Source: RNAcentral